GACGAACGCUGGCGGCGUGCCUAAUACAUGCAAGUCGAACGCUUCUUUCCUCCCGAGUGCUUGCACUCAAUUGGAAAGAGGAGUGGCGGACGGGUGAGUAACACGUGGGUAACCUACCCAUCAGAGGGGGAUAACACUUGGAAACAGGUGCUAAUACCGCAUAACAGUUUAUGCCGCAUGGCAUAAGAGUGAAAGGCGCUUUCGGGUGUCGCUGAUGGAUGGACCCGCGGUGCAUUAGCUAGUUGGUGAGGUAACGGCUCACCAAGGCCACGAUGCAUAGCCGACCUGAGAGGGUGAUCGGCCACACUGGGACUGAGACACGGCCCAGACUCCUACGGGAGGCAGCAGUAGGGAAUCGUCGGCAAUGGACGAAAGUCUGACCGAGCAACGCCGCGUGAGUGAAGAAGGUUUUCGGAUCGGAAAACUCUGUUGUUAGAGAAGAACAAGGACGUUAGUAACUGAACGUCCCCUGACGGUAUCUAACCAGAAAGCCACGGCUAACUACG
This 506-nucleotide ribosomal RNA is filed under the name uncultured bacterium. RNAcentral's name for it is "partial 16S ribosomal RNA". It matches the Rfam family "Bacterial small subunit ribosomal RNA", at positions 28 to 505 of the family's 1533-position model. The record is from RNAcentral.